This 274-nucleotide ribosomal RNA is filed under the name uncultured bacterium. RNAcentral's name for it is "partial 16S ribosomal RNA". It matches the Rfam family "Bacterial small subunit ribosomal RNA", at positions 523 to 796 of the family's 1533-position model. The record is from RNAcentral.
AUACGGAGGGUGCAAGCGUUAUCCGGAAUCAUUGGGGUUAAAGGGUCCGUAGGCGGGCUAUUAAGUCAGAGGUGAAAUCCCACAGCUCAACUGUGGAACUGCCUUUGAUACUGAUAGUCUUGAGUUACAGUGAAGUAGAUAGAAUAUGUAGUGUAGCGGUGAAAUGCAUAGAUAUUACAUAGAAUACUGAUUGCGAAGGCAGUCUACUAACUGUAUACUGACGCUGAUGGACGAAAGCGUGGGGAGCAAACAGGAUUAGAAACCCUAGUAGUCC